CAGUUUCUUCUCAACUCCCUCUGCUGUUAAAAUCUUCCAAAUACGUGUGCAUUGCUUUAGAAUCGUAAGAUACAAAAAACAAACAAAAAAUCCACCGAAGGAAACCGUGCAGUGCAGGCUCCGCUGUGAAGCCAGGCGACGUCCUCCCCCAGUCUUGACACAAAAUUGUCAUUUCCCGAGUCAGCCCUGAGCCUGUGCCCCGCUCCUUCGGCAGACAGCUAAGGGCAUGCAUUGGCUUUUUAGGAUGAUUUUUAAAUUCCCUUAUUAUUUUCCCUAACUUUCUAACUCUAGAAAUACUCUCAGGAGACCCCUGUCUUCUCAGGAGGGAGGGUUUUGUGGCACCAGGUAGGGGCCAGUGAGCAGGAAGGAAGGAGGUGCUGAACCGGGUGCCCACCAGGUCCAGGGAGGGUGGCCCCCCUCCUCUGACCUCCACCAAGUGGGGCGUCCCUCGGCUGGCCCCCUGCCCUCCCCUGCAUCUGCCUAGCCUGGGCUCUGUGCUUUGCAUCGGCGCCAGCCCUGAGCGCCUCCUGCCAGCGUCCAGUGUUCAGCUGACCUGGGUCCCACACAGCGAUGGGGAAGUCAGGCUCCUGAAGAUUUCUCUUUCCUUCCUUUUACUGUAAACACAGUGGAAUUAAUACUGCAUUUCCAGGAUACCUGAAGACACUUGGUUUUGUUUUUGAGAAGCGUCACUCUGGGGUUGAAGUAACCAGAGACAAGUGAGGGACGUGACCGUGUGGCCACCUCGGGGUGGGGCCUGGCCUGACGAGGGCCCUCAGCCCUGGCUGUUGUCCCAGGACAGGGCAGCGGCCUCUUCGGAAGCUGCAUCUCUGGACCUCUUUGUGGUUCCCCUGCUGGGCCCUUCCUGGCUGGGGGAGCCUGUGGCCGCCCCGCCUGUCCAUAGCUCGGCCAACUCUUGGGGUGGGGCCAUCACUGCUGCACGUGGACGCUGCAGAAUUGGGUGUUGCCAUGCCGGGCUCAGCACUCAGCACCUCUCUGGGGUUUCAUGCAGCCUGGGCGCUACCUUGAGGCCUCAUGGGCUCAGGCUGGUGCCCUGGCACCAAAACUCCAGACGGACAGGCCUUCCCUGUCUGUCCGCCUGCGUGCUGGAGUUUGUGUCUAGGGAGAUGUUGGCCUUCUCCAGGGAGCAGGUGCCUUCCCACGGGCCUGGUCCGAGUGCUCCGGGAACCGGCUUCAGUUCCAGCUCAGCUGGGCUCAGGCACCACUGACCUGGCCGCCCAGCUCCAGCCCCUCUGCCUGGUGGAGCCCAGCCUGCCAUGAGGUGCCCAUAGAGCGCACACCCCAGCUUCUCUCACCCUACUUGGUACUGAGACAUGAGGGAAGCGUCCAGGCAGGAAAUGUCUUCAAAGAAAACCUUCCCCGUUUUCUACAUUGACCUUGAGGUGUUUUCCUGUUAAAACGUCACCUUGUGCUGGGGCCAGCUGUCCUCCAGCUUUAUGGGCAGCAGCCGUUUCUUCCCUCCACCGGCUCUGCUUCCAUUCCUGAAGUCUCAGGCUCUCCCCGGGUGUCAGGUCUGAGGCCCUGAGCCAUCCAGGGAAUGGAGCUGGGGGCCCUCCUGUUCUCCCUCUAGUUUUUCCCAUAACUUUUCCAGUGUAACAGGUUCCCCUCCGUCGGGGAGGCACAGCAGAGCAGCUGCAUCUUGGUUCUCUGCCAACCAUGCGGUUCUGCUCCCCUCCCCUAAGCCCCCGCCCCCGGGAUGGUCAGGGUCCCACCCUGGGCCUCUCUCUGAGCCUCCGUCUGUUCCGGGACGGACUCCUGUCCCCUCCAGUCCCCUUCUGCCCCUUCCUGCCCCCACGGCCGCUUUGCCUGCCCAGGGCCUGAGUGCAGCCUGGGGAGGGGGCUGCCUUCGGGUGUGGGGUCCGAGCCCCCGGCACACGCUGUGU
Long non-coding RNA from Cercocebus atys (sooty mangabey), 1901 nucleotides. RefSeq lists it as uncharacterized. The record is from RefSeq and is a predicted model, not a curated record. Lineage: Eukaryota; Metazoa; Chordata; Mammalia; Primates; Cercopithecidae. The transcript is spliced from 3 exons.